RNAcentral lists this small RNA (493 nucleotides) under Pan troglodytes (chimpanzee). RNAcentral's name for it is "processed transcript". Lineage: Eukaryota; Metazoa; Chordata; Mammalia; Primates; Hominidae. The record is from RNAcentral.
CACAUUUAGUGGGAAAGAGAGCUAUGGGAAUUAAAUUUGGCCAUACUUUGGACUUAAAUACUGAAUGAAUGAAUGAAUGAAUGAAUGAAUACAAAGCAGACCAGAUAAGAACUAGGAGAAAGAAUGAAGAGGUGGAGUGUGUUACUCUUGGGGCUGGAAUGAGCAUGGCAUGUGCGGAGAUGGCACUGAAGCCAACGUCUGGGCCCCAAAGCCGGUGCAGGCUCUGCUGUCAUCGUCAGGACUCCUUGUGGGCUGUGGGGCUGGCCACUCCUUGGCCCUCUGCCAGCUGCCAGCUCACCCUGCAUUGGUCCAGGACUCCAGGGUCACCUACCUUUCCCCAGAUGCCAUCGAGGACACUGAAUCUCAGGAAGCCAUGGACAAAGAGAGAAACUGGGAGGAAAGACAAUCAGAAACUUCAACCCAAAGCCAAUCUGACUGGUCCAGAAAUGGGGGACUGUGAUAGAGAAUCUUUAAUAAAAUGGCUUUUCCCACC